Triticum aestivum (bread wheat) is the source of this 515-nucleotide long non-coding RNA. RefSeq lists it as uncharacterized. The transcript has 2 exons. The record is from RefSeq and is a predicted model, not a curated record. NCBI's taxonomy places the organism in Eukaryota, Viridiplantae, Streptophyta, Magnoliopsida, Poales, Poaceae.
CUUGCUUCUGCCGCCAGAGUUAGUUUUGUAAAGCCUGGGCAAGGGCAGGGCCGGGUAGGAUGAGCUCCGGCGGCUGUUCGACGUGCCUGGAGACCGUCUUCGCCGCCGUCCUCCCGCCGCUCGGCGUCUUCUUCCGCCGGAGUUCUUCAUCUCGCUGCCGCUGACGUUGCUCGGCUACGUCCCCGGCAUCAUCUACUCCCUCUAUGUCAUCCUGAAGGCGCCGCCGGAGCUGCCGAGCAUCGACGGCGACCGCCCCUACUACAUCCUCGCCUGAGAAGCUCCUUCGAGCAUAGCGUACGUACAUGCUACUGUAGUUUAGCUCGCUCGCUGCAUACUGUGUCGCCAUUGGUUGAAUUGGAGAUGAUUUGUAAUUAAGCUGUGUGUUAGUGUGUGGACGUAGCCAGUGCUUUGAGGAAUUAGCCACUGUUCUUUCUUUCUUGAUUGGAUUGGUGAUGUGCUGUAUAAUUGUUUCGGCUGUGGAUUAACGUACUCUCGAUGCUAGAAAUUAACAGCUA